RNAcentral lists this transfer RNA (63 nucleotides) under Regioscalpellum regium. Its description in RNAcentral is "tRNA-Asp". Lineage: Eukaryota; Metazoa; Arthropoda; Thecostraca; Scalpellidae. The record is from RNAcentral.
GAAAUCUUAGUUAAUAUUAUAACUUUAUCUUGUCAAGUUAAAAUAGCUGUUGAGCAGAUUUUU